Molecule: ribosomal RNA, 528 nt
Filed under: Klebsiella pneumoniae
Lineage: Bacteria; Pseudomonadati; Pseudomonadota; Gammaproteobacteria; Enterobacterales; Enterobacteriaceae
Also listed under: 1 other name
Description: bacterial SSU rRNA
Rfam family: Bacterial small subunit ribosomal RNA
Source: RNAcentral
GGUCUGUCAAGUCGGAUGUGAAAUCCCCGGGCUCAACCUGGGAACUGCAUUCGAAACUGGCAGGCUAGAGUCUUGUAGAGGGGGGUAGAAUUCCAGGUGUAGCGGUGAAAUGCGUAGAGAUCUGGAGGAAUACCGGUGGCGAAGGCGGCCCCCUGGACAAAGACUGACGCUCAGGUGCGAAAGCGUGGGGAGCAAACAGGAUUAGAUACCCUGGUAGUCCACGCCGUAAACGAUGUCGAUUUGGAGGUUGUGCCCUUGAGGCGUGGCUUCCGGAGCUAACGCGUUAAAUCGACCGCCUGGGGAGUACGGCCGCAAGGUUAAAACUCAAAUGAAUUGACGGGGGCCCGCACAAGCGGUGGAGCAUGUGGUUUAAUUCGAUGCAACGCGAAGAACCUUACCUGGUCUUGACAUCCACAGAACUUUCCAGAGAUGGAUUGGUGCCUUCGGGAACUGUGAGACAGGUGCUGCAUGGCUGUCGUCAGCUCGUGUUGUGAAAUGUUGGGUUAAGUCCCGCAACGAGCGCAACCC